This 253-nucleotide ribosomal RNA is filed under the name uncultured bacterium. Its description in RNAcentral is "partial 16S ribosomal RNA". It matches the Rfam family "Bacterial small subunit ribosomal RNA", at positions 524 to 776 of the family's 1533-position model. The record is from RNAcentral.
UACGUAGGGUGCAAGCGUUGUCCGGAUUUAUUGGGCGUAAAGAGCUCGUAGGCGGCUUGUUACGUCGUUCGUGAAAACUUGGGGCUCAACCCCAAGCUUGCGGUCGAUACGGGCAGGCUAGAGUUCGGUAGGGGAGACUGGAAUUCCUGGUGUAGCGGUGGAAUACGCAGAUAUCAGGAGGAACACCGAUGGCGAAGGCAGAUCUCUGGGCCGUAACUGACGCUGAGGAGCGAAAGCAUGGGGAGCGAACAGG